GGGGGUAUAGCUCAAGUGGUAGAGUGCAUGCUUAGCAUGCAUGAAGUGCUGGGUUCAAUCUCCAGUACCCUCC
Molecule: transfer RNA, 73 nt
Filed under: Camelus bactrianus (Bactrian camel)
Lineage: Eukaryota; Metazoa; Chordata; Mammalia; Artiodactyla; Camelidae
Also listed under: 2 other names
Rfam family: tRNA
About the family: Transfer RNA (tRNA) molecules are approximately 80 nucleotides in length. Their secondary structure includes four short double-helical elements and three loops (D, anti-codon, and T loops). Further hydrogen bonds mediate the characteristic L-shaped molecular structure. tRNAs have two regions of fundamental functional importance: the anti-codon, which is responsible for specific mRNA codon recognition, and the 3' end, to which the tRNAs corresponding amino acid is attached (by aminoacyl-tRNA synthetases). tRNAs cope with the degeneracy of the genetic code in two manners: having more than one tRNA (with a specific anti-codon) for a particular amino acid; and 'wobble' base-pairing, i.e. permitting non-standard base-pairing at the 3rd anti-codon position.
Source: Rfam by way of RNAcentral